This 29-nucleotide non-coding RNA is filed under the name Bombyx mori (domestic silkworm). Lineage: Eukaryota; Metazoa; Arthropoda; Insecta; Lepidoptera; Bombycidae. The record is from RNAcentral.
UGAACUUUAUAUGCGUGAAGAUGAAGAUC